AAUACGGGCCAAUGGGCGAAAGCCUGCUCCAGCAACGCCGCGUGAGUGCUGAAAGCACUAGGGCUGUAAAGCUCUUUUACCAGGGAUGCUAAUGACAGUACCUGGAAAAUAAGCCCCGGCCAACUCCGUGCCAGCAGCCGCGGUAAUACGGAGGGAGCUAGCGUUGUUCGGAAUUACUGGGCGUAAAGCGCGCGUAGGCGGCCUGUCAAGUCAGGGGUGAAAGCCCGGGGCUCAACCCCGGAAUUGCCUUUGAGACUGGCAGGCUAGAAUCUUGGAGAGGUCAGUGGAAUUCCGAGUGUAGAGGUGAAAUUCGUAGAUAUUCGGAAGAACACCAGUGGCGAAGGCGACUGACUGGACAAGUAUUGACGCUGAGGUGCGAAAGCGUGGGGAGCAAACA
Molecule: ribosomal RNA, 397 nt
Filed under: uncultured bacterium
Lineage: Bacteria
Description: partial 16S ribosomal RNA
Rfam family: Bacterial small subunit ribosomal RNA
Source: RNAcentral